RNAcentral lists this ribosomal RNA (253 nucleotides) under uncultured bacterium. RNAcentral describes it as "partial 16S ribosomal RNA". It matches the Rfam family "Bacterial small subunit ribosomal RNA", at positions 524 to 776 of the family's 1533-position model. The record is from RNAcentral.
UACGAAGGGGGCUAGCGUUGUUCGGAGUUACUGGGCGUAAAGGGCGCGUAGGCGGCGCACCAAGUCAGGCGUGAAAGCCCUGGGCUCAACCCGGGAAUUGCGCUUGAGACUGGUGUGCUCGAGUACGGGAGAGGAUAGUGGAAUUCCCAGUGUAGAGGUGAAAUUCGUAGAUAUUGGGAAGAACACCGGUGGCGAAGGCGGCUCUCUGGACCGAUACUGACGCUGAGGCGCGAAAGCGUGGGGAGCAAACAGG